RNAcentral lists this ribosomal RNA (253 nucleotides) under uncultured bacterium. RNAcentral describes it as "partial 16S ribosomal RNA". It matches the Rfam family "Bacterial small subunit ribosomal RNA", at positions 524 to 776 of the family's 1533-position model. The record is from RNAcentral.
UACGUAGGGUGCAAGCGUUAAUCGGAAUUACUGGGCGUAACGCGUGCGCAGGCGGUUUUGUAAGUCUGGCGUGAAAGCCCCGGGCUCAACCUGGGAAUUGCGAUGGAGACUGCAAGGCUUGAAUCUGGCAGAGGGGGGUAGAAUUCCACGUGUAGCAGUGAAAUGCGUAGAGAUGUGGAGGAACACCGAUGGCGAAGGCAGCCCCCUGGGUCAAGAUUGACGCUCAUGCACGAAAGCGUGGGGAGCAAACAGG